UGCCUGAGCAUGAUGGCGCACGCCUGCCAGCCCAGCCCUGGGGAGGCCGAGGCAGGAGGAU
This 61-nucleotide microRNA precursor is filed under the name Cavia porcellus (domestic guinea pig). RNAcentral describes it as "miRNA (ENSCPOG00000019137.3)". The record is from RNAcentral. Lineage: Eukaryota; Metazoa; Chordata; Mammalia; Rodentia; Caviidae.